RNAcentral lists this transfer RNA (73 nucleotides) under Promethearchaeota archaeon. Its description in RNAcentral is "Candidatus Lokiarchaeota archaeon (permafrost metagenome) tRNA-Thr". It matches the Rfam family "tRNA". From Rfam's summary of the family: Transfer RNA (tRNA) molecules are approximately 80 nucleotides in length. Their secondary structure includes four short double-helical elements and three loops (D, anti-codon, and T loops). The record is from RNAcentral. Lineage: Archaea; Promethearchaeati; Promethearchaeota.
GCCUCCGUGGCUUAGGUGGUAGAGCAUUGCCUUGGUAAGGCAAAGGCCGCGGGUUCAAAUCCCGCCGGAGGCU